AUUGAGUUGAGACCCGAUUGAAGA
RNAcentral lists this non-coding RNA (24 nucleotides) under Gossypium hirsutum (cotton). The record is from RNAcentral. Lineage: Eukaryota; Viridiplantae; Streptophyta; Magnoliopsida; Malvales; Malvaceae.